GCAAAAAUAAACAGUUCAGAACGCCAGUUUGGAACCAGUAUCAGGAAGCAGUUGGAUUUUCUGAUGCAAAGGGGAUUUUUGCUUCUGCCUGAGAACAGCCGAGAUUAUGUCAUAAGAAAGGGGCAGAAGAAGCAUCACCAACUCUAAGGAACCAAAGUCUCUCCAGCCACCAAAAUGAAUGCAGCUGCCACUUAGGGGAAGUGGACAAGGACAGAACCACCCAGAGAUGAUGGUGAGAAAAGGCAGAAGGCCUGGGAGCUGGAAAAUGACUCCAUGGAGUAAAAGAUCACAGCAUCCUUUGGGACAAGACCGAUGUUCAUGACAAGAGGAAAGAAAUCCAAGUAAAUCAAAAGGAACAGAAACUAGAAAUAUACAGGCAUACUUGUGGCUGGAGUUAUUCCACUACUUGUACAUUAUGUGGCUUACCUCAACAUGUGGAAAAAUACAGUGCAAUGGUGCAUGCCUGUAAUCCCAACACUUUGGGAGGCCGAGGCAGGAGGAUCACUUGAGCCCAGCGUUUGAGAUCAACAUAGCAAAAUCCCGUUUCUACAGAAAAAAAAAAAUUUGCUGCAUGUGGUGGUACACAUCUGUGUUCCCAGCUACUCAGGAGGCUGAAGUGGGAGGAUCACUUGAGGCUGGAGGCAGAAGUUGCAAUGAGCUGAGAUCUAGCCACUGCACUCCAGCCUGGGUGACAGAUUGAAACCCUGUCUCAAAAUAAACAACAAAGAAAACUUCGUCUCCUGCAGGAAGCUAUCAUAAUCCUGACUGCAAGCCACCUAUUUGAAACUUAUUUGAGUUAGAUCUUACGUUAUAUUUAUUUGACCUUUUUCAUCUGUCCAGUUUUCUUCUUGAGUUUAUUCAGUUACCUAAAGAAACUGAAAAUUACUUGUAGAUAGAAAUCACAUUUCAUAAUUUGCUUAUAAUUCCCCUCAGGCCUUCUGCAUUUUAUGCAUAUUGAACAUUACACAAUUUAAUGAAUGGAUCAUUGGAAAAUCUCUCAUUAUGUACACGAUUAUAGAUGCAAUACAUUUUCAUAAGUUAUAUAAUUGUUUUAUUUAUUUUUACAAUUAAGGCUGAAGAUUGAGGUCUAUAUGCACUAAUCUAUUCUUGAUGCAAUGGUUUAUUAAAAUGCCCUUUUAAAUUAUAGUAAGUUUUUGCAUUGAAAUUGGUUUGUCCUUGCUUAACAGAUUCGAUCAUUAAGAACAGUAAAGAGUUUCUCUCACUGAAAUCAUUAAUACAUUUACUUAUACAGAGAUAGAUAGAUAGGUGCUGGCAUAUACUUACAAGCUUAUGAAUAACACAGUUAGUUGCUUCACAUUGACUCAUUUCAGAAAUGUCACUGUAAGUCACAAAAUAUUUUGUGAAAUGAUUGUAGUAUACUUUCGGCUACAACACUGAGUCUGUUAUACCUGAGAAGAAAUUAGACUCUGUGGGGGGAAAAAGACAGAAAAAUUUCCAAAAUCAAAUUUUUAACACCAGGGUUGCUGUGAGCCUUACCCCAGGGGGUGCCGUUUGUGGCAUGGUCUGUGGAGUUAAACAGUGUAGGCUAUGUGGUUUUAUAUGGCAGCCCUGCAGAAACCAGAGAGUAUACAAAAAGGUAUCAUAAAAUUUUGAACUUUAGUGCCACUGCUCAGUUAAGUAGUCUUCAAACUCUUAUGGAUAUUUAGUCAAUCUGUUGUAAUCCAUGAUGUUAGAAUGUACAAUGGUCCUUACCAAUCAUUUUAUUUGGUAGAAAAGAAAAAUAAGAUAUAUCAAUGAGAAGUAAAUUAUAUAUUUAAAAUACAUAUACAUAACAUAGAAUUAAGAAAUAAAGCACAAAAUAUAUGACAAGCCUCUAAAUAUUAAGUACUUUUCAUAGUCUAAAUUUCUACUACUAUACCGUAACUAAGGGAGGAGGCCACCCCUCAUAUUGUCUUAUGCCCAAUUUCUGCCUCCAAAGAAAAAAAAAAGUGAAAACUAAAAGGCAGAAAUGACACCCACAGGAAGACAGCCCGGCGCCACACCCUGGGCCUAGUAGUUAAAGACUGACCCCUGACCUAAUCGGUUAUGUUAUCUAUAGAUUACAGACAUUGUAUGGAAAAGCACUGUGAAUAUCCCUGUCCUGUUCCGUUCUAAUUACCAGUGCAGGUGCAUGCAGCCCCCAGUCACAUACCCUCUGCUUGCUCAAUUGAUCACGACCCUCUCACACAGACCCCCUUAGAGUUGUAAGCCCUUAAAAGCGUCAGGAAUUGCUCACUCAGGGAACUCGGUUUUUGGAGACAUGAGUCUGCUGAUGCUCCUGACUGAAUAAAGCCCU
Homo sapiens (human) is the source of this 2296-nucleotide long non-coding RNA. Ensembl annotates it as long intergenic non-protein coding RNA 1602. The record is from Ensembl. Lineage: Eukaryota; Metazoa; Chordata; Mammalia; Primates; Hominidae.